GCCAGCAGUUAUGGACCAUAGGGUGGCCAUGUAUUUGGUUAAACAUUUCUGGGUGUGUCUGGGGGGCAUUUCUGGAUGGGAUCACCAUUGGAAUUGGUGGACUCAGUGACACAGACUGCCCUCCCCAGUGUGAGUGGGCCUCAUUUAUCCAUUAAAGGCCUAAAUAGAAUAAGAGGCUGAGUAAGAAAGAAUUCUCUCUUUCUGCCUUUCUUUGAGCUGGGACAUCAGUAUUCUCCUGCCUUUGGACUUGGACUGGAACUUGCACCAUUGACUGUCCUGAUUUUUGGAUUUGUGGAGGAACUUACACCAUUGGCUCUCCUGGUUCUCAGGGCUUCAGACUUAUACUGGAACUUAUACCAUCCAGCUAUCCUAGGUCCGGACUUCUGAGCCUCCACAAUUGUGUGAACCAAUUCUUUAUAAUAAAUGUAUGUAUGUUUUUAUAUGUCUCUAUCUCUGUCUUUCUAUAUCUUCUAUUGAUUCUGUUUCUCUGGAGAACCCUGGUUAAUACAGAUUUUGUCAGGAGUGGGGUUGUAAAGGAAUAAAAUUUUAAGGAUAAGUUUUCUGCAUUUGUUCUGGAAUUUCUGGAAUUGGCUCUCUGAUAUGAUUAAAUUUAAAGACUGUUAGUGACUGUAUUUCCAGUAGUAAAGAGAGCAUUGAUAGUGUGUGUGUGUGCCAGAUCUGGUGUGAUCUGGCAAUAACAAUAUGAAAAAUAUCUUCAUUGGGUUCUGCUAAUCAAUCAGUUGUAAGAAACAAGUUCUGGGUGACCAUGCAUGUAAUACUUCCAAACAUUUUUGUAAAUCUAACAAAUAUAGUGGGGUUGGCUGGUUGUUCCUAAUGUCACUGGACAAAGUGGUGAAAGUAAAAGAUGAACUCAAGGAUUUGAAUUCCCAGCUCAACAGUGUUGCAUACAUGACCUGAAAGCUGCUAGGUAUUCCCUGAAGCCACAAGGCUGAGAUUGCUGAAAAUCAAACAUAGAAUCUCAUCUUUCCAUUGGCUGAAUGUAAGUUGAACUCCCAGCCUUGCUGAGGUUGACUGUUAAAGUGAGGGCAUUGACUGGGAAAAAAAUGAGAUCCUAUAAGUUAGAAUGGGGACAUGUGGGAAGAUUCUGAUGAAGCUGGAGACAUUGAGCCCCUAAAUUCUAAUGGGUCUUCUUUGCCAGUGGAGAGGUCUUUCCAUUUUCAGUGAAAGGUGCAUCCCACUCUCUCAGGAGUUAACUCUGCAUUUCCUGAGGAAACUGUAAUGGCAAUUGUCCUGGAAGGAAGACAAUACUGAUUCUUCUCAUGACCCACCCCCUUUGCUUCUAGGCCUAUACCUAGGCUCAAGUCCCAUCAGGUCCCUCAAGGUGAGGUACAGGGUAUGACCCAUGAGGAGAUGUGCUAAACUCUUAAAGAG
This 1392-nucleotide long non-coding RNA is filed under the name Pan troglodytes (chimpanzee). RNAcentral describes it as "long non-coding RNA NONPTRT009186". The record is from RNAcentral. Lineage: Eukaryota; Metazoa; Chordata; Mammalia; Primates; Hominidae.